CAAAUUAGAUAUCCAUUAGUUUCUCUACAGAAUUAUUUCUAUAAACUGUCUCAUCUUUGGGGAAGCUCAUGAGAAUCUGAGAUAAAUAGGAUCUCUAAACAAACUUUUGGCUAGUCAUACUAGUGAAAUAAACAGAAAAUUGGAAAAUGAUGAAAUAUUCUACCUAUUAUAUGUUUAAUUCAUCAAGUGCAUUUUUAAAGGAUAAGUUUCUUUCUGCAUAGUUCUAAGAAGGGAUUAAUCAAAUAUGCUAAAAUAUAAUGUUUUGUUAAAAGAAAUUAUGGGUGUUGAAGGAGGCAGGCUGCCUGGGCCCCACACCUGGCUUUGUGUGAUUUUGGACAAGUCAUUCAAUCUUUUGGGCCUUGGUUUCCUCAUCUCUGAAUGAUAAUGUUUUGAAGAUAAAAUAACAUAUGAAGUAUUUAUCAUGAUAUGUAUAUUAGUUGAUGGCUUUAAUCUAAAAUUAACAGAAAUUCUGACUCAAACUGACUGAAAUACUAACACAUUUUUUUUUUCUCAUGUAACAGGAAGAUCAAUGGUAGGGCAUUGGUUACUUCCCUUAAGGGGUGGUUGAGUCAUAGCUCUAUGAUGUUAUAGAGAUCUAGGUUCUGUCCCUCUUUGAUCUCCCAAUUCUUAGUGUCAGCUUCAUGCAUAGGUAGUAACAUGGCCAUAGCAGUUUCUACAUAUGACAAAACCCAGAAGAACAAAGGAUGCUAUUUGUGGACUGGAUAUUUGUGUCCCCGACAAAUUCAUGUUAAAACCCAUUCCCCAAUGUGAUGGCAUUAGCAGUUGGACCUUUGGGAGGUUAGUAGGAUUAAAUGAGGUCGUAAUGGUGGAGCCCUCAUGAAUGGAAUUAGUGUCCUUAUAAGAGUCACAAGCUUAUUUCCCCUCUCUGCUCUCUACCAUGUGAUGAGAAAAUGAGAAGUCCCCAGUCUGAAACCUGGAAGAGAGCCCUCAUCAGAAACUGACCAUGCUGGCACCCUAAACUUGGACUUCCAGCCUCCAGAAUUAUCAGAAAUAUACUUCUGUUGUUUAUAAGCCACCCAGUUUAGGAUAUUUUGUGAUAGCAGCCUAAGCUGAUUAAGAUAUUACUCCAUUUUGCAGCUUCUCUUAAACAGGGAUAGUGGGAACCUUCAUGAAAACAUCUUUGUAGUUUUCUUUGCCCAUUACUGAAUCACUAACAAAGGAAGAGAAAUUCCCCUUAGGCUCUACCACAUACAACUUCCGGAUUUGAAAAUGGAAGUUUUUUCCCAAGGUGAGAAGUGGAUAUUCCAAAAUCAUGCAAACAAUUUUGAUGGCAUAAGAACAUCUUCAGGGCCUAGUGUUACAAGUAAUUGAGUUCUCUGCACCUUUGGAGAUGUGUCAUAUUGACGUCACUGAGGAAAAAGCACCAGGAAAUAGGUUUUCCUUGCUAGCCAUUAGGAUGAUUUUCAAGAUCCUAAUUUUUGUAGAAUAAAGAGUUAAAUAUAGAAUUUUUGGUACUUCUCACAUUUAAAAUAGGAUAGUAAAAUACUGAUUCUUCAGUAUCAAUUUUUAAAUGAAAUUAUUAUAAAAACUUAAUUUGCAUGGGCAUUUCACAUUCUUAUGGUUUGAGCCUUCAUGUGCCUGUAGAGAAAGGUAGGGCAAAUAGAAAUCUAUUUAUUUCACAGGUGUAACCAGGGGUGGAAAGGUAAAGUGAUUGUACUUAACAUCACUCUUCUCACUAACCCUAACCCCAGGCCUUUUCAUUUUACCGUCAACACGUGCCUAUUGUUUCCCUUGAUGUUCCGUCUCUUCAACAAGGGGAUUUGCUCUUUAAGGCACGGGAUAUAUCCUCUAUGUAUUCUGGUGUCUAGUAUUUUAGAUUUAGGAAAUGUUUGUUGAUUGUAAAUGAUUUGCAGAACUAAAGCAAGCUUAAUAAUCUUGAGUUUGAAUUUUUCCUUGACAAUGAUACACUUCUAGGCAAAGCAAUCUCCGGCCUGGAUCAGUCUUGGAGGGCAUUUAUUUAUACAAGGAAACUCAUUCUCUUAUGAAAUUAAAAAAUAAAGGCAAUUUGGGUCUUAAUUUCCUCCUCUUGACUUUUCAUGGCUACUUCAUAGAAUUUUUUACAGGUUAGAUUAUAUUUUAAGACACAAAGCUACUAGCGCACCAGAAAACCUGAGGAUUAUUUAGCCAAAGACAGAUGUAAACAGAGCCAAAAUUAAAUCCAACCAAGAUAAACAAAAAAGAAAAACCGAAACCAUUCCCUGGAAGCAAACAGAAUUAUCAGCUUCCAAACGGAUUUUCCAGGAGAGAAGAGCACAGUCAAUUAGAAAUGGAUCAAACUAAUAUAUGCAGUUCAGGGUAAGAUAACAACACUAGCAUCAACAAAAAUCCACCAUGAUUAAGUAGUCCAAGAUAGUUUAGCUCUGUGUCCCCACCUAAAUCUCAUCUCCAACUGUAAGGCCCACGUGUCAGGGGAGGGGCCUGGUGGGAGGUGAUUGAAUCAUGGGAGUGGACUUCCCCCUUGCUGUUCUCGUCAUAAUGAGUGAGUUCUCACGAGAUCUGGUGGUUUAAAAAUGAGUGGCCCGUUGCCUCUGUCUCUCCUGCCACCGUGAGAAGACGUGCCUUGCUUCCUGUUUGCUGUGAUUGUAAGUUUCCUGAGACACCCAAGUCCUGCGUCCUGUAAGCCUCUGGAACUGUGACGUGCCUGCUCCCACUUCGCCUUCAACUAUGAUUGCAAGUUUCCUGAGGCCUCCCCAGAAGCUGGGCAGAUGCUAGCAUUAUGCUUCCUGUACAGCCUGCAGAACUAGUAGAGUCUUGCUCUGUCACUCAGGCUGGAGUGAUGUGCGAUCUUGGCUUACUGCUACCUCUGCCUCCCAGGUUCAGGUGAUUCUCUUUCCUCAGCCUCCUGAGUAGCUGGGAUUAAGGGACCUGGAUGAAUUUGGAAACCAUCAUUCUCAGCAAACCGACACAAGAACAGAAAACCAAACACCAUAUGUUCUCACUCAUAGAUUGUGCCUGCUUCAGCACCACAUGUUCUUCCAAUGGAGGCAUCCGACACCUCUAGCACUUCCUGUCUCAAGCAAGGAUGGCUCACUCUAUCGGGGUUGUUGUCUAAGGAUCCACUGAACCCAUCUUCAGACCUGAACUUCUAGAAAUUGUAUGUGAGAUUUUCUGUAACAGUAAGUGGACAUUUUUCUUCGGAGUUUAAAAAAUUUUAAGAGUAGUAAACUAGAUGUUGAACUAUUUGUUUCAUACCCUGAUGUAUAGACAAAGGACAUUACCAGGCAGCAUACACACAGAGGCUUCCGGAAUAACAUCCCUGGGAACACACACAGAGACAAGAGGAUAUGGUGUCCCAUUUAGGCCAUUGCACUCUGCAAUAGCAGAUGGGGUUGUUCAGGCUCUGGAGGAAAAACACAGCCCUCAAGUUGUUGGCUUUUAGCUGAAUCGUUAGAGAUACACUUCUCCGGGUGUAACCAAGGUCCAUGGUCUAAGCCUUAUGGUAAUAGUCAAGUGUCCCAGAAAAUCCUGGUCUCCACUCAAACUCUGCUACUGCAUUCAUCAUUGGUUCAGUGGGGCAAGGAAGGAGAGAUUUUCCCUCUAAUGUAGUCUGGGAGCUGGGGUCCAUGUUUUGUGGUUGGAAAGAAGCCUAAAAAAAGAAAGAGGGAAAAGAAGAUGUGGAACAAGAGGAGGAAACAGAUGUGCAGAGGGAAAAGGGACAGCAUAUGUGCAGAUGUGCAGAGGGACAGCACUUCUAAGCCUAAGUCACUCCUACUGGGAUGGAUUUGGAAAUUGUAGCAAAAGCUGGAUGAGAAAGUAAGAAAACUCUGGUUCCUUGUUUUUCACUCUGAAGUUUAACACCUAGUUGAGAAUAAACAGGCUUUGGAUCAAAAGGAGAUGGUCCAAGAAAUCACUUCUGUUACUCCCCACUGUAGGUAACUUUAGUUGCCCUCCUUUCUCCCAGUUUGAUGCAUCCAAGUAUUCCUUGAUUUACAAAGAAGCCAAGCACUCUGCUCCCUUUACUUCCAUAGGCACUGCUCCUAGUGUCAUCGCCAGAGAAGCUGUUCAUUGUUAAUUCAUCUGUUUGGUUAUGUUUGGUUAUUUAUAUGCUGAUUUAGUUUAUGAUAAAUUUGUUGUGUCCACAGGAGCUGCUGUAAUAAGAUUCUGACAUCCUAGCUCCUAUGUGUUCAGAUAUAAAAGCUGGGAAGAAGCUGAGAAAAACCAGAGGAGCUUCUGGGAAAUGGCCAUAGGGAUCAGGAUCUAAGGGGACCUGGGAGGCUGCUGUAGUAGCCAUGUAACUCUGCUCCAAACCUCCUGGAUUUAGCUCUUCACUUUGUUCUCUGCCUAACAUGCUAUUUGCAAGCCCUCUAUUUUUAAAAAAAACAUAACUAUCUGAAAAAAGGUUGAAAAUUAAAUCAUUCUUACUUUGGUGUUAAUUCAUUAUGUUUCUCCCAAUUUGCAGCUGAGUUCAGAUGCAUUGGUGGUUAGACUGAGAAAGGAGAGAGAGAGAGAGAGAGAGAUUAUUUUGUACUUUGGAGCCAGAGCAGAUAUUGGAAGGGUGGUAAGAUUAGAUCAUCAGCUAGGCUUUGCUCAUCUAGACCUCUAAAGAAACAUGGAAACUGGAAACUAGAUGAAUAAAAAAAAAAGUGGUGAGAAGCAUCAAGACGAGCCCUACUUAUUUCACAAUUACACUUGGGCUGGCACUGCCCCAUGACAUUUAAUGGAAUCUUCCUUUUCUUUCUCCCUCUGCACAUCUGUUUCCUCUUGUUCCACAUCUUCUUCUCCCUCCUUCUUUUUUCCUUCCCUUCCUGCCUUCUCAAAUACUUGACAUUUACUAGAUCCCAGGAGAGAACUGUUGAUACUAUAAUCCUGCUACAAAAUUGAUUAAAUUAAAUCAUUAAAGUGUUAUUAACAGAAGGGAAACUAGAGAGCAUCAGCUCCUUCAACUGGAAAAUAAAAAAAAUGAAGCUAGAAAAAGAAGUCUCCAAUUAGCACGAGGUCAUUCUGGGACUAGAAUCCAGGUUUUCUGACUCCCAAUUAAUGGUUCUUUCUGCUCCACUUAGAAAUCCCUGAAUAAGCCAAAAUCUACAUACCCCACAUGACAUUAUUUUACUCAUGAAACAAACCAUGUAAUGCCUUAUUUGUAUCAACUUUGUGCUGAAACCUGGAAAUUAAAGUGGGCAAGAAAUUCAUUUUAAAUGCACUUUAUAGUCCUUUGUUGAUAUUCCUUAAAAUUACAGAGUAGAUUCUAAUUUGUCUAUUUUACAGCUGUAGAAACAAGUCAAAGACAUUUCACAGAUGGUCCAAAAUAUAAUUUGAAUUUAGAUCAUCUAGAUCUAUUUGUCUAUUUGAAUUUGCUGAUUCUUCAUUCUCCUUAAAUUUCAAUAUGAACCAAUCACAGUUGUGAACAUGAAAAUGUUAGAGGGAGGCAGUAAUACUAAACAGAAAAGCCUAUUAUGUACUGUUGAUUCCUGGAAAUCACAUGGUUUGGCUUAGCAGUUUCAUCCUUCCAUCUUAAAGGAGCUCUAUGGAACUAAUGGCUGUACAUUACAUGAGUGAGGACAGGCUGAGCUGCGUAAAUAUGCAAUAGAGGCUUCAAAGGCUGCAACAGCCCUGGGUGUAUAAAGCAGAAUAGCUAGCAUUAGUAAUAGUCAAAAUACAGUAUUUAUUCAGCUUCAUCCCCCUAUGUACUACAUCCCCCUUGCAGCUGCAAUUUCUCCCACGUUUCCUGGAAUGGUAUGUUGGACUGAUUUAUUGAGUAGACAUAGUGAUACAGUUUGAAUAUCUGUCCCCUCCAAAUCUCAUGUUGAAAUGUAAUGCCCAAUGUUGGAGGUGGGGCCUGAUGGGAAGUGUUUGGGUUUAGAGGAUCCAUCAUGAAUGGCCUAGCACCAUCUGCUCGGUAAUGAGUGAGUUCCUGUUCGGUGACUUUACCCAAGAUCUGGUUGUGUCAGAGUGUUUCACCUACCCCUUCUCUCUCUUGCUCUCACCCUAGCCAUAUGACAUGCUCAUUCUCCCUUUGCCCUCCACCAUGAUUGGAGCUUCCUGGGACCCACACCAGAAACUGAGCAGGUGCUGGGACCAUGCUUCCUUUACAACCUGCAGAAACCUGAGCCAAUUAAACCUAUUUUCUUUCUAAAUUACCCAGUCUCAGGCAUAGUGACACAAAAGUGGACUAAUACAUAUAGCUAGGGUUUUUUAUGAGCCUGACAAGUUCUCCUGGUUAGUAUGUAUGCUGACCUCAUUUUCCCUUACCUGCCCAGCUCAGUGUAGUUAAGCUGUUGAAGGCAAAAUUUAACAGCUAUUUAGCUUACACAUGCCUGGCAGAGUGGAGACCAGGCUGCCAGGGUUCAGUUUGCUAUUCAGAGUACUACCAAUGGUACCCAACAGUGACUAACGCCCUCCACCACCAAGAUCUAUGGGAUGAAAAUUAUUGUCUUUGUUUUCAAACUGGAAGAUUGGGCUCAGAAAAUUUAAGUAACUUGACCAAAGUCAAAGAACUCGUAAGUGGCAGGGUAACAUUUGAAUCCAGCCAGUUAAUUCUAAAGGCUGCCUUCUUAUCACACCAAAUGUCUGGAUUGAGGAGGCAAUUGGACACCAACACAUGUCUGGAGUCAGUCUUCCUAAGAGUUGCUGGUGCUAGUGAAUUAAAAUAACUAAAUAUGUAUAAACCUGGCAGGCUUAGCAUGAAAUUUUUUGACUGAGUGAAGCACUAGGAAAUAGACUAUCUCUACAGAUGAACAGCUAAGAGAGAAGAAACUUCCUAUAAUACACAAGUUUGGGGCAAGAAGAGAUGAAGUGGCUUUAGCAAUAUUGAAUUGGCAAGAAAACAUGGCUUGGUUUCAAUAGACACUUCUUCAUUCUGGAUAGAAAGAAGGAUUUAAAAACUCUAACUAUGUAAGAAACCCCAGUUCAGUUUUGGCAUGGUGUGUGACCAAAUAUAGCACUGGAGAACUAAGAUGGAUUGCUUUUCUUCUCAUCCCAGAGCCCUCCAGCUUAAGCAAGUAGAAAAGUCCUACUAGACUUUCAGUAGGGUAGCCCCAAAUACAGAUCCCAAGCCAGGAGACCCAGCAACCCAGGAGGCUGUUCCUGGCCAGUUCUGGGGACAGUUACGGCUUUUCACAGGCUCAGCAGGUAUGCUCUGAGUGCUAUGUCAUAAGGGGAUACAGGAUUUAGGACUAUUUCCUCAUCUCCACCGCAGCCCUACCCCAAUUCUGGUGAAUAUAUGGGGAUCCUGGAGCCUGGCACAAGAGGCUUUGAGCAUUCAUUUCGAGAGUUGAGAAUGGUUCUUUAUUUUCUAACUUAUAGUUUGACAUGCCAAAUCCACAUAGAUGUAAUAUACGAUGGUCCACAUCCAAAAUCAAGGAAGCAAAUGCUCAAAAUUUGAAAGUUUAUCACAACCUGGCAGAUAACAUGACAUCUCAUCUCCUCCUUCUGCAGCAAGACAACCAUAAAAAUAAAUUCUCAGUAUGUGAGUUGUAUUUAAUAAAUUACAUUUUCAAAGCAUACUUUUAGAUUAUUUUUAGAACAUUAAUGACAUCUUCCAUGAACCAGGGGCUACUCUACUCUGCUGCAGCAGUAAUUUUAAUUUGUCAUUAUCACCCCUGUGCCCUAACAUGCUUCUCUCCCAGGUGUGCCUGGAAUCUCAUUCUAGCCCAACUGUCACUGGCCUAAGCUCUCGGCCAGCAGCAGCAGCAGAGUUGGCAUCCACUUAUAUCCUGACAGGAGGUUUCUCUUUAACUGUGGUUGUUAAAUCUCUCUGUAUAAAAUGAAAAGAAAGAUGAGGCAGAGGGCAGAAAGAAACUGGAGUUACUGGCUCCUAUUGAAAGGAAGAAUGUCAGUGAUUUGCAAUAGGAAGGCCUGUUGAGUGGAAACAUGAACACCAGUCAUUAUCUGAUGCUGGUGAGAAGGUGGGACUUACGACAGACCUGAUGUGUCCUCUGGGUGAAAGCUCAUAGCAGUCUGGCAGAAGGCAAAAGAAUGCAAACCAAGAAUUCUGGCCUUCUCUGAAUAACCACUGUUCCUAUUACAAGCUCAAAAUAAUUUUUGCUGUUCAGUUCAUUAGCAAGUAAUGAUAACAUUACAAUAUUUCAGUCAAGGUGUUGUUUUGACAAUAGCAUUCACAACAACAAAAGGGUCCAAUAAGAUCUCAUUCUCUUUUUUAAGGAAAACAGAAAUAGUUUUAGUCAUUCAUCAUAGAAUUAGAUUAAAAUAAAGCUUUGAGAGAGAUAUAUACUAUGCCACCGUUUUUGGCAUAGCUGAAUGAAUUUGGGUUUCAGGAUCAGGCUGACCUGGGUUUAAAUAGUUGCCUGACCUUAGACAAGUAAUUUAACCUCUCUCAGACUUAGUUUUUUCAUCCAUAAAAUUUGACAAUAGUCACCACAUCAUGGGAUAAUUGAUAAGAUUUGAUUACGUGAGGUUAGUAAUUCAUCUAGCAAUAUGCCUGGUACCUUGUAGUAACUCAAUAAAUCCCUAUUUAGUGCUCUAUCUAUUGAAGUCCAGAAAAGUCUAUUGAUUCAAUGAACAGAGGGCCUUCCUUGAUUCCCCUGCAAAGAGCUUAAGGUAUGAUCAAAAACUAAAAUUAGAAACCAGCAACAGAAAGGGGGAAAAUAGUAGAAGAGGCUGCAGCAUCCUGGGAAGAGUCAGGGACUGAAAUCAGGAGGCGGCUUUGCUGUAGUAGAACUGUGGGCAACUGCUUAGCAUCUUAAAGCCUCAGUAUGCCCACCUACAUCAAGGAGAUAACAAUACCCUUUUUGCGAUGUUUAAGACAUCCUUCCUACGUACAGACAUUGGGCUUGAGAUUGAGUUUCCCACAAAGAUGAAUAAGACACAUUCAAUGCCCUUGAAAUAAUCUGGAGCCUAGUGGAGGAAUUAGUAACAUAUACAUAUGAAAAAGAAAAUGCUCACUGAAUAUAGGAUCAGCUUUUGCAUUCCUUCUCAGAAACAGUAUACCAAUGAUAGGCAAAGGUUUACGCCAGAUAACUUUCAAUCCAGGCUCUUCUACUUCAUGGUUGUAUAAAAUCAGGCAAGUUAUUUAACCUAUUAUUGGAAAUGAAGGAAAUCAUGGAAUUGUUGUGAAUAUUAAACCAGAUAAUCCAUGUAAAUGUGGGAACACAGUAAGCAUUCAAUAAAACGUCAGCUCUAAAGUCUGCUAAAUGUACCCCUGUACUUAGGGCUGAAGGUGACAAUUCUGAGGUGCCACCUUAUAAAUUCUCGAUUUUGGUCACACCAAUAAUCCAUUUAGAAACAUCACCUAGGCUCUAUUCUCAAAAAUGGAAUUGUUUUGGUGUUAAUAGGUACAUCUACAAUUUCAAAAGUCCCAGACAUUAGCAUGUGAUUGUUAUUCCUUGA
This is a long non-coding RNA of Callithrix jacchus (white-tufted-ear marmoset), 9306 nucleotides long. RefSeq lists it as uncharacterized. The record is from RefSeq and is a predicted model, not a curated record. NCBI's taxonomy places the organism in Eukaryota, Metazoa, Chordata, Mammalia, Primates, Cebidae.